UGGGGAAUUUUGGACAAUGGGCGAAAGCCUGAUCCAGCAAUGCCGCGUGUGUGAAGAAGGCCUUCGGGUUGUAAAGCACUUUUGUCCGGAAAGAAAUCCUUGGCUCUAAUACAGUCGGGGGAUGACGGUACCGGAAGAAUAAGCACCGGCUAACUACGUGCCAGCAGCCGCGGUAAUACGUAGGGUGCAAGCGUUAAUCGGAAUUACUGGGCGUAAAGCGUGCGCAGGCGGUUUGCUAAGACCGAUGUGAAAUCCCCGGGCUCAACCUGGGAACUGCAUUGGUGACUGGCAGGCUAGAGUAUGGCAGAGGGGGGUAGAAUUCCACGUGUAGCAGUGAAAUGCGUAGAGAUGUGGAGGAAUACCGAUGGCGAAGGCAGCCCCCUGGGCCAAUACUGACGCUCAUGCACGAAAGCGUGGGGAGCAAAACAGGAUUAGAUACCCUGGUAGUCCACGCCCUAAAACGAUGUCAACUAGUUGUUGGGGAUUCAUUUCCUUAGUAGCGUAGCUAACGCGUGAAGUUGACCGCCUGGGGAGUACGGUCGCAAGAUUAAAACUUAAAGGAAUUGACGGGGUCAUAGCUG
Molecule: ribosomal RNA, 581 nt
Filed under: uncultured bacterium
Lineage: Bacteria
Description: partial 16S ribosomal RNA
Rfam family: Bacterial small subunit ribosomal RNA
Source: RNAcentral